RNAcentral lists this ribosomal RNA (490 nucleotides) under uncultured bacterium. RNAcentral describes it as "partial 16S ribosomal RNA". It matches the Rfam family "Bacterial small subunit ribosomal RNA", at positions 28 to 507 of the family's 1533-position model. The record is from RNAcentral.
GAUGAGCGCUAGCUACAGGCUUAACACAUGCAAGUCGCGGGGCAGCAUGGGGGUUGCUUGCAAUCCCCGAUGGCGACCGGCGCACGGGUGAGUAACGCGUAUCCAACCUGCCCUUCACCACGGGAUAACCCGGCGAAAGUCGGACUAAUACCGUAUGUUGUCCAUUGACGGCAUCCGAUUUGGACGAAAGGCUUGGCGGUGAGGGAUGGGGAUGCGUCCGAUUAGCCAGACGGCGGGGUAACGGCCCACCGUGGCUACGAUCGGUAGGGGUUCUGAGAGGAAGGUCCCCCACACGGGAACUGAGACACGGUCCAGACUCCUACGGGAGGCAGCAGUGAGGAAUAUUGGUCAAUGGGCGUAAGCCUGAACCAGCCAAGUAGCGUGCAGGAUGACGGCCCUAUGGGUUGUAAACUGCUUUUAUGCGGGGAUAAAGUGGCCCACGUGUGGGCUUUUGCAGGUACCGCAUGAAUAAGGACCGGCUAAUUCCGUG